GAUGAACGCUGGCGGCGUGCCUAAUACAUGCAAGUCGAGCGAACGGACGAGAAGCUUGCUUCUCUGAUGUUAGCGGCGGACGGGUGAGUAACACGUGGAUAACCUACCUAUAAGACUGGGAUAACUUCGGGAAACCGGAGCUAAUACCGGAUAAUAUUUUGAACCGCAUGGUUCAAAAGUGAAAGACGGUCUUGCUGUCACUUAUAGAUGGAUCCGCGCCGCAUUAGCUAGUUGGUAAGGUAACGGCUUACCAAGGCAACGAUGCAUAGCCGACCUGAGAGGGUGAUCGGCCACACUGGAACUGAGACACGGUCCAGACUCCUACGGGAGGCAGCAGCAGGGAAUCUUCCGCAAUGGGCGAAAGCCUGACGGAGCAACGCCGCGUGAGUGAUGAAGGUCUUCGGAUCGUAAAACUCUGUUAUUAGGGAAGAACAUAUGUGUAAGUAACUGUGCACAUCUUGACGGUACCUAAUCAGAAAGCCACGGCUAACUACGUG
This 497-nucleotide ribosomal RNA is filed under the name uncultured bacterium. RNAcentral's name for it is "partial 16S ribosomal RNA". It matches the Rfam family "Bacterial small subunit ribosomal RNA", at positions 28 to 507 of the family's 1533-position model. The record is from RNAcentral.